UGAGGAUAAUACCGGAUAGGGAAAUCCUACUGGAAGGUGGGUUUCCUCAAAAGCAAUGCCUAAGGAUGAGUUGGCGGCGGAUUAGGUAGUUGGCGAGGUAAUGGCUCACCAAGCCGAAGAUCCGUAGGGGCCUUGAAAGAGGUAGCCCCGAGAAGGGCACUGAGAUACUGGCCCUAGCUCCACGGAGUGCAGCAGGCGCGAAACCUUUACAAUGCACGCAAGUGUGAUAAGGGAACCCCGAGCGCUGAUGCUUAGCAUCAGCUUUUGCUAAGAGCAAAUACCUUAGCGAAUAAGUGGUGGGCAAUACCUGUGCCAGCCGCCGCGGUAACCCAGGAGCCACAAGUGGCAACCACCUUUAUUGGGCCUAAAGCGUCCGUAGCCGGUUUUGUAAAUUUUCUGUGAAAUCGUUGCGCUUAACGUAACGGCGUGCAGAAAACACUGCAAGACUAGGGACCGGGAGGAGUCAGGGGUAUUUUGGGGGGAGCGGUAAAAUGCUAUAAUCCCCGAAGGACCACCUGUGGCGAAGGCGCCUGACUAGAACGGAUCCGACGGUGAGGGACGAAAGCUAGGGGAGCAAUCCGGAUUAGAUACCCGAGUAGUCCUAGCUGUAAACGCUGUGAG
RNAcentral lists this ribosomal RNA (621 nucleotides) under uncultured archaeon. RNAcentral's name for it is "bacterial SSU rRNA". It matches the Rfam family "Archaeal small subunit ribosomal RNA", at positions 141 to 766 of the family's 1478-position model. The record is from RNAcentral.